CGGAGGCUCGGGAUUUCUUAGCAACAGGGGCAGGAGCAUCAGAAGGAGCAGGACGCUUACUCCCGACCUCAUUGGUCACGCCCCGAGAAACAAUUGUUGUCUCCCUUCAAGGAGGGGCCCCCUCCGCGGGCUCAGAUUCAGUCUCCUUCGUAAGAACGACCCCAGAAGAGAUUUCUUGGGCAUUUUGACCUUCGGGGUAGACUUCAUUCGUGUCCCUAGGCC
Molecule: long non-coding RNA, 222 nt
Filed under: Manihot esculenta (cassava)
Lineage: Eukaryota; Viridiplantae; Streptophyta; Magnoliopsida; Malpighiales; Euphorbiaceae
Description: long non-coding RNA (MESC_LNC001625)
Source: RNAcentral